AGCGCAGCUGAUCAUUCAUCCGGUGAGGACGAAGGCCUCGGGUUGUAAACUGCUUUUGUACGGAACGAAAAGCCUUGGGCUAAUACCCCGAGGUCAUGACGGUACCGUAAGAAUAAGCACCGGCUAACUACGCGCCAGCAGCCGCGGUAAUACGUAGGGUGCAAGCGUUAAUCGGAAUUACUGGGCGUAAAGCGUGCGCAGGCGGUCUUGUAAGACAGAGGUGAAAUCCCCGGGCUCAACCUGGGAACUGCCUUUGUGACUGCAAGGCUGGAGUGCGGCAGAGGGGGAUGGAAUUCCGCGUGUAGCAGUGAAAUGCGUAGAUAUGCGGAGGAACACCGAUGGCGAAGGCAAUCCCCUGGGCCUGCACUGACGCUCAUGCACGAAAGCGUGGGGAGCAAACAGGAUAGAUACCCUGGUAGUCCAAGCCCUAAACGAUGUCAACUGGUUGUAGGGUCUUCACUGACUCAGUAACGAAGCUAACGCGUGAAGUUGACCGCCUGGGGAAUACGGA
This 511-nucleotide ribosomal RNA is filed under the name uncultured bacterium. RNAcentral's name for it is "bacterial SSU rRNA". It matches the Rfam family "Bacterial small subunit ribosomal RNA", at positions 380 to 886 of the family's 1533-position model. The record is from RNAcentral.